AUCAAUCAAUUAAUGCUGUUAUGCAUAUGCUGGAGAUUGGUCCAGUGUUUUUACCAACUACCGUAAAGAGUUGACUACAUAAUCCUAUGUGGUGACU
RNAcentral lists this non-coding RNA (97 nucleotides) under Clostridiales bacterium. Its description in RNAcentral is "Guanine sequence". It matches the Rfam family "Purine riboswitch aptamer". Rfam says of the family: Riboswitches are metabolite binding domains within certain messenger RNAs that serve as precision sensors for their corresponding targets. Allosteric rearrangement of mRNA structure is mediated by ligand binding, and this results in modulation of gene expression. The record is from RNAcentral. Lineage: Bacteria; Bacillati; Bacillota; Clostridia; Eubacteriales.